CCAAUAGCGUAUAUUAAAGUUGUUGCAGUUAAAAAGCUCGUAGUUGAACUUCGGGGUUCACCCAUUGGUCAGGCUUAAUUGCUUGCACUGGUGAGAUGAGUCUCUACCUUCUGAGGAACUUUCAUGUCAUUAAUUUGGUGUGAUGGGAAAUCAGGACUGUUACUUUGAAAAAAUUAGAGUGUUUAAAGCAGACUAACGUCUGAAUACAUUAGCAUGGAAUAAUGAAAUAGGACGGACUGAUUCUAUUUCGUUGGUUUCUAGGAUCACCGUAAUGAUUAAUAGGGAUAGUUGGGGGCAUUAGUAUUCAAUUGUCAGAGGUGAAAUUCUUGGAUUUAUUGAAGACUAACUACUGCGAAAGCAUUUGCCAAGGAUGUUUUCAUUAAUCAAGAACGAAAGUUAGGGGAUCGAAGACGAUCAGAUACCGUCGUAGUCUUAACCAUAAACUAUGCCGACUAGGGAUCGGACGAAGUUAAUUUUAUAAUGACGCGUUCGGCACCUUACG
This 502-nucleotide unclassified non-coding RNA is filed under the name uncultured Diversispora. Its description in RNAcentral is "SSU rRNA". It matches the Rfam family "Eukaryotic small subunit ribosomal RNA", at positions 591 to 1092 of the family's 1831-position model. The record is from RNAcentral. Lineage: Eukaryota; Fungi; Glomeromycota; Glomeromycetes; Diversisporales; Diversisporaceae.